GGCGAACGCUGGCGGCGUGCCUAAUACAUGCAAGUCGAACGCUUCUUUCCUCCCGAGUGCUUGCACUCAAUUGGAAAGAGGAGUGGCGGACGGGUGAGUAACACGUGGGUAACCUACCCAUCAGAGGGGGAUAACACUUGGAAACAGGUGCUAAUACCGCAUAACAGUUUAUGCCGCAUGGCAUAAGAGUGAAAGGCGCUUUCGGGUGUCGCUGAUGGAUGGACCCGCGGUGCAUUAGCUAGUUGGUGAGGUAACGGCUCACCAAGGCCACGAUGCAUAGCCGACCUGAGAGGGUGAUCGCCCACACGGGGACUGAGACACGGCCCAGACUCCUACGGGAGGCAGCAGUAGGGAAUCUUCGGCAAUGGACGAAAGUCUGACCGAGCAACGCCGCGUGAGUGAAGAAGGUGUUCGGAUCGUAAAACUCUGUUGUUAGAGAAGAACAAGGACGUUAGUAACUGAACGUCCCCUGACGGUAUCUAACCAGAAAGCCACGGCUAACUACGUG
Molecule: ribosomal RNA, 508 nt
Filed under: uncultured bacterium
Lineage: Bacteria
Description: partial 16S ribosomal RNA
Rfam family: Bacterial small subunit ribosomal RNA
Source: RNAcentral